UUUUCUAAGACUUUCAUUGUGAUGUCUGAGUAUAUCUUCUUCACUCGAACGUUCUGGGAGAUUUUCCGAUGAUUUUUGGGUGAUUUUUCGGUGACUUAUCAGCUUCUAGGGUCUGGUGGUUGAACCUAGGGUUUAGCUGCUAUCCGGUGGCUCGAUCCUCACUCAGUGGAUGUUUUGGGUGACUUUCCGACAUCCCUGACCAUAUUUCCAGUAAGGUUUUCGACG
Molecule: long non-coding RNA, 225 nt
Filed under: Nicotiana benthamiana
Lineage: Eukaryota; Viridiplantae; Streptophyta; Magnoliopsida; Solanales; Solanaceae
Description: long non-coding RNA (NBEN_LNC018250)
Source: RNAcentral